UUAAAGUUUUAUUCUUGCUUUAUGUUAGGCUUUUAGAAUGUUUUAUAUAAAGGUUUUUAAAUUAAAUAUUUGGUUUUUGUAGUAAUUAGUAUUGAAUAUCAAGUUAUUUUGGAUUCAGCGAUUUUUUUUGGAAAGAUAAAUGUCGUGCCAGCAAUCGCGGUUAUACGUUAUUUUCUUGUUUAAUUUUUUUGGUAUGUAGUUAUUUUAUUUCUAAGUUCUUAUAUAUUGUAAUGUUUGGUGGAAUAUUAUUACGAAUUAUUGGCUUUAUUUGUUAUAACUAUUUAGGCUAUAGUUUAAACUAGGAUUAGAUACCCUAUUAUUUUAGAAUAUUUGUUUUCCAGGGUAGUAUGAUUAUUUUUUGAAAUCUAAAGAAUUUGGCGGCAUUCUGUCUUUUUAGAGGAACCUGUCCUGUGAUUGAUGUUACACGUUUGGCGUUGCUGGUUGUAAUUGUUUGUAUAUUUCCGUUAUUAGAAAAUUUAUGGAUAAUAUUUUCGAGUUUUUUUAUUAAAUUGUAUUUCAGGUCAAGGUGCAGCUUAUUGAUCAGUAGUAGAUGGGUUACAAUAAUUUAAUUUAUAUGGAUAUUUAUUUUAAAGGAUAAAUUGAAGGUGGAUUUAUUAGUAAAUUUUAUUAAUUAUUAUUUUUGAAUUAGGUCUGGUUUGUGCACAUAUCGCCCGUCGCUCUCAAUUUUUGAGAUAAGUCGUAACAGAGUAGAUUUACUGGAAAGUAAAUCUGGUUUUCA
RNAcentral lists this non-coding RNA (739 nucleotides) under Paragavialidium hainanense. The record is from RNAcentral. Lineage: Eukaryota; Metazoa; Arthropoda; Insecta; Orthoptera; Tetrigidae.